This 499-nucleotide ribosomal RNA is filed under the name uncultured bacterium. RNAcentral's name for it is "partial 16S ribosomal RNA". It matches the Rfam family "Bacterial small subunit ribosomal RNA", at positions 28 to 507 of the family's 1533-position model. The record is from RNAcentral.
GACGAACGCUGGCGGCGUGCUUAACACAUGCAAGUCGAACGGGCCCGCCCCUGUUUUUGGGGGUGGGUUGAGUGGCGAACGGGUGAGUAUCCCGUGAGUAACCUGCCCCCUGCUCCUGGAUAACUGCUUGAAAGGGCGGCUAAUACGGGGUGUGCCGGCUGGUCCGCAUGGGCCUGGUCGGGAUAGUUUCAUCUUCGGGUGUUUCGGUGGGGGAUGGGCUCGCGGCCUAUCAGCUUGUUGGUGGGGGGAUGGCCCACCAAGGCGGUGACGGGUAGCCGGCGUGGGAGGGUGGGCGGCCACGCUGGGACUGAGACACGGCCCAGACUCCGGCGGGAGGCAGCAGGGGGGGGUAGUGCACAAUGGGCGGAAGCCUGAGGCAGCGACGGCGCGUGAGGGAUGGAGGCCGUCGGGUUGUGAACCUCUUUCUCCGGUGGUGAAGGCCCUGUCCGUUGCGGCGGGGUUGACGGUAGCCAGGGAUGAAGCGCCGGCUAACUACGUG